GAUGAACGCUGGCGGCGUGCCAAAUACAUGCAAGUCGAGCGAACGGACGAGAAGCUUGCUUCUCUGAUGUUAGCGGCGGACGGGUGAGUAACACGUGGAUAACCUACCUAUAAGACUGGGAUAACUUCGGGAAACCGGAGCUAAUACCGGAUAAUAUUUUGAACCGCAUGGUUCAAAAGUGAAAGACGGUCUUGCUGUCACUUAUAGAUGGAUCCGCGCUGCAUUAGCUAGUUGGUAAGGUAACGGCUUACCAAGGCAACGAUGCAUAGCCGACCUGAGAGGGUGAUCGGCCACACUGGAACUGAGACACGGUCCAGACUCCUACGGGAGGCAGCAGUAGGGAAUCUUCCGCAGUGGGCGAAAGCCUGACGGAGCAACGCCGCGUGAGUGAUGAAGGUCUUCGGAUCGUAAAACUCUGUUAUUAGGGAAGAACAUAUGUGUAAGUAACUGUGCACAUCUUGACGGUACCUAAUCAGAAAGCCACGGCUAACUACGU
This 496-nucleotide ribosomal RNA is filed under the name uncultured bacterium. RNAcentral's name for it is "partial 16S ribosomal RNA". It matches the Rfam family "Bacterial small subunit ribosomal RNA", at positions 28 to 506 of the family's 1533-position model. The record is from RNAcentral.